Molecule: ribosomal RNA, 540 nt
Filed under: uncultured bacterium
Lineage: Bacteria
Description: bacterial SSU rRNA
Rfam family: Bacterial small subunit ribosomal RNA
Source: RNAcentral
UAGUCCACGCCGUAAACGAUGGAUACUAGGUGUCCGGGAUAUUAACCUCCUGGGUACUACAGUUAACGCGUUAAGUAUCCCGCCCGGGGAGUACGGUCGCAAGAUUAAACUCAAAGGAAUAGACGGGGACCCGCACAAGUGGUGGAGCAUGUGGUUUAAUUCGAAGAUACGCGAAGAACCUUACCUAGCCUUGACAUAUUUAAGAACACUUUAGAGAUAGAGUGGUGCCUUCGGGAGCUUUUAUACAGGUGCUGCACGGCUGUCGUCAGCUCGUGUCGUGAGAUGUUGGGUUAAGUCCCGCAACGAGCGCAACCCUCGUCACUAGUUACUAACGGUUCGGCCGAGGACUCUAGUGAGACUGCCGGUGUUAAACCGGAGGAAGGCGGGGAUGACGUCAAGUCCUCAUGGCCCUUACGGGUAGGGCUACACACGUACUACAAUGGCAGAUACAAACCGUUUGCAAAGCCGCGAAGUUGAGCUAAUCGGUAAAACACUGUCCCAGUCCGGAUUGGAGUCUGCAACUCGACUCCAUGAAGAUGG